CUUGUCUCAAAGAUUAAGCCAUGCAUGUCUAAGUAUAAGCAAUCUAUACUGUGAAACUGCGAAUGGCUCAUUAAAUCAGUUAUCGUUUAUUUGAUAGUACCUUACUACUUGGAUAACCGUGGUAAUUCUAGAGCUAAUACAUGCUAAAAACCUCGACUUCGGAAGGGGUGUAUUUAUUAGAUAAAAAACCAAUGCCCUUCGGGGCUCCUUGGUGAUUCAUAAUAACUUAACGAAUCGCAUGGCCUUGCGCCGGCGAUGGUUCAUUCAAAUUUCUGCCCUAUCAACUUUCGAUGGUAGGAUAGUGGCCUACCAUGGUUUCAACGGGUAACGGGGAAUUAGGGUUCUAUUCCGGAGAGGGAGCCUGAGAAACGGCUACCACAUCCAAGGAAGGCAGCAGGCGCGCAAAUUACCCAAUCCCGACACGGGGAGGUAGUGACAAUAAAUACUGAUACAGGGCUCUUUUGGGUCUUGUAAUUGGAAUGAGUACAAUUUAAAUCCCUUAACGAGGAACAAUUGGAGGGCAAGUCUGGUGCCAGCAGCCGCGGUAAUUCCAGCUCCAAUAGCGUAUAUUAAAGUUGUUGCAGUUAAAAAGCUCGUAGUUGAACCUUGGGCCUGGCUGGCCGGUCCGCCUCACCGCGUGCACUGGUCCGGCCGGGCCUUUCCUUCUGGGGAGCCGCAUGCCCUUCACUGGGUGUGUCGGGGAACCAGGACUUUUACUUUGAAAAAAUUAGAGUGUUCAAAGCAGGCCUAUGCUCGAAUACAUUAGCAUGGAAUAAUAGAAUAG
This 784-nucleotide ribosomal RNA is filed under the name Leotiomycetes sp. RNAcentral's name for it is "SSU rRNA". It matches the Rfam family "Eukaryotic small subunit ribosomal RNA", at positions 31 to 825 of the family's 1831-position model. Lineage: Eukaryota; Fungi; Ascomycota; Leotiomycetes. The record is from RNAcentral.